GGUCAGGACGAACGCUGGCGGCGUGCUUAACACAUGCAAGUCGAACGGGGAUAUAGCAGCGGAAGGCUUCGGCCGGAAGGUGGUAUAUUCGAGUGGCGGACGGGUGAGUAACGCGUGAGCAAUCUGUCCCGGACAGGGGGAUAACACUUGGAAACAGGUGCUAAUACCGCAUAAGACCACAGCGCCACAUGGCGCAGGGGUAAAAGGAGCGAUCCGGUCCGGGGUGAGCUCGCGUCCGAUUAGAUAGUUGGUGAGGUAACGGCCCACCAAGUCGACGAUCGGUAGCCGACCUGAGAGGGUGAUCGGCCACAUUGGAACUGAGAGACGGUCCAAACUCCUACGGGAGGCAGCAGUGGGGAAUAUUGGGCAAUGGGCGAAAGCCCUGACCCAGCAACGCCGCGUGAGUGAAGAAGGCCUUCGGGUUGUAAAGCUCUGUUAUAGGGGACGAAGGAAGUGACGGUACCCUAUAAGGAAGCCCCGGCUAACUACGUGCCAGCAGCUGC
RNAcentral lists this ribosomal RNA (503 nucleotides) under uncultured bacterium. RNAcentral describes it as "bacterial SSU rRNA". It matches the Rfam family "Bacterial small subunit ribosomal RNA", at positions 22 to 518 of the family's 1533-position model. The record is from RNAcentral.